GAUGAACGCUGGCGGCGUGCCUAAUACAUGCAAGUCGAGCGAACAGACGAGGAGCUUGCUCCUCUGACGUUAGCGGCGGACGGGUGAGUAACACGUGGAUAACCUACCUAUAAGACUGGGAUAACUUCGGGAAACCGGAGCUAAAACCGGAUAAUAUAUUGAACCGCAUGGUUCAAUAGUGAAAGACGGUUUUGCUGUCACUUAUAGAUGGAUCCGCGCCGCAUUAGCUAGUUGGUAAGGUAACGGCUUACCAAGGCAACGAUGCGUAGCCGACCUGAGAGGGUGAUCGGCCACACUGGAACUGAGACACGGUCCAGACUCCUACGGGAGGCAGCGGUAGGGAAUCUUCCGCAAUGGGCGAAAGCCUGACGGAGCAACGCCGCGUGAGUGAUGAAGGUCUUCGGAUCGUAAAACUCUGUUAUUAGGGAAGAACAAAUGUGUAAGUAACUAUGCACGUCUUGACGGUACCUAAUCAGAAAGCCACGGCUAACUACGUG
This 497-nucleotide ribosomal RNA is filed under the name uncultured bacterium. RNAcentral's name for it is "partial 16S ribosomal RNA". It matches the Rfam family "Bacterial small subunit ribosomal RNA", at positions 28 to 507 of the family's 1533-position model. The record is from RNAcentral.